CAGGUAUGGCGAGGACAGCUCAUCAUUCAGAGAAAAUGUCUCCUUCAAGGAUUCAACCCUCUGCUAGAUGAAGUUGUUUGAAAAGGCAGCUGUAACUUAUGUUGUGUAGAAAGUGAUGAGACGGCAGAUGAUGAUGGUGAAUGUUUCAACAUGCUGCUCUCACUUUGUUUCCCCCGCCAGUGUGGAGCACGGUGGAGUGUGGAGACUGAAACCAGCUCUAGAGAAGUGUAAGUGUCUGUUUGAUUCAUCACAAUGCACACUGACUAUUGAGCUGGAAAGUCCAUCCACACAGCAGGAGGUGACGUCUGUUCAUUCAGAUAUCUGGGAAUGAAGCUGAUGACUGACAUCAUGUAUCUUACAUAUAUAAACAUUAACAUAAUUGCUGUGAUUAUAUCAGGAGUGAUGAUUUUACAACAUUGGACAUAACACCAUAAUAAUCAGGAUACUGUUAAUCAUAAUUACAUGUCUAUAUUAUAUUCAAAAACUAUUAAAUUAAACUAUCAUCUUGUCACCAUUAUAAUAAUUAUAAUAUUGUUUUAAUUCCUGUCAUUACAUUAGCUAUGGCGCAUAAUAAUCAUAUUAACAUGUUUUGAAUGAUGCAUGUGUUUCACCUUAGAUUUAAAUUAGAGCUGGUGAUGCUGUUUAUUUAAUAUUGAUGACGAUGAUGAUGAUGAUAAUUAUAAUUAAUAAUAUUGGUUUAGCAGCCUAAUCAUGUUUCUCCCGUCAGAUGCCUGUGAACUCACACUGGACCCCAACACAGCCCAGAGUCGACUCUCUCUGUCUGAGGACAGCAGGAAGGUGACGCGGGUUGAAGAGAAACAGUCGUAUCCGGAUCACCCAGAGAGGUUUGACGCCCAGCACCAGGUGUUGUGUAGAGAGGGUCUGACUGGCCGCUGCUACUGGGAGGUAGAGUGGGGAGGACGGGUUUAUAUAGGAGUGGCAUACAGAGGAAUAGCAAGGAGAGGAGUGGGUGAUAACAGCAGGCUUGGAUGGAACAACAAGUCCUGGAGUCUUGAUUGUGAUGACGACGAUGAUGCUCUCUACACUGCCCUUCACAACGGUAGUAGAACAUCCAUACGUCUCCCCCCCCCUCACUAUAACAGAGUAGGAGUGUAUCUGGACCGGCCUGCUGGCUCUCUGUCCUUCUACAGAGUGUCCCCAGGAGGAGGAGGGUCCUCAGACACACUGACACACAUCCACACCUUCCAGGCCUCCUUCACCCAGGAGGACCUCCUCCAUGGGUUUAGGUUAUGUAACAGUGGUUCCUCAGCGUCUCUGGGAGUGUCCAUUGUAGAUACACAAACACACAAAAAGACCCAUGGAAAAGCACGCACAUGUAAACAGUCAUAAACACACCCAAACCAACAAACACAUAUGUACAUAGAAAUUAACACACACACACAAACAAACACAUCGUUCAUGACUCUACAAACACACACACACGCAAGCACACACAAACAAGCACAUCGCACUCUAUAAACACACACACACACACGUAUUUACACAGACAUGCACUCACACACACACACGUCGUUCAUGGAUCUAAACCCACAGCAGGUCAGCGUGCCGGGGGUCAGCAGCGGGUCACAUCAGUGCACAGCAGGUCAGCGUGCCGGGGGUCAGCAGCGGGUCACAUCAGUGCACAGCAGGUCAGCGUGCCGGGGGUCAGCAGCGGGUCACAUCAGUGCACAGCUGCCAACUCUCCCGUUUUUCCCGGGUUUCUCCCGUUUUCUGAUCCAUCUCCCGCCGCCCUCCCGUUUUGUCAUUUCUCCCGGUUAACUCCCGUAUUUCACGAUGUCCAAACUUAUUUUUAUUUAUAAUCAAAUCAAAAUGUGUGUCGAAUGUUCUAAAGUUGCCAGAUCAUGUAUCAAACGCAAGCAUGAGAGGCAACGCAAGCGUCAGCCAAUCAAAUGCAUUUGCAGCAAAUACGACAGCACAGGCUGUAGCCAAUCAGAUCACGUCUAUGGUCACUUCUCAAGAGCGCAGAGCUAAAAAAAAAAACAUGGCGGAGCAAACUCCGUAAAUGGUCGCAUAAAAAUGGCAGAAGCGGGUGUACCAUCGAAGAAGAUUAAAUAUAUGUGUACUUUUAAGUCGGAAUGGACCAAAGAGUAUGAUUCAAUAUCAAAUAGUCACCUGGACAAUAGUCACGCUUUUUGUAAAGCGUGUCGGGUUGAUUUUAAUAUAGGGCACGGCGGUAAAAAUGACGUCCGUCAACAUUUAAAGUCCCUGAAACAUGUCCGUGCUGCCGGGGCACAAAAGGGCACUCAGGCGAUAACGGGUUUCAUCACUAAGGGACAAAACGAGCAGGAACCAGUGCUCCAGGCUUGGAUGUUUUCAUUGUGAAUACAUACAUAAUGAUACAUAAAAAAUACGUUUUUUGUUAAUGAAUACAGUUAUUGUGUAUUUAUUUAUAUACUGAAGACUACAUGAUGUAUAUGUUGUCUAUAAAUAGCUACUUAUAUGCACAACAUCCCUUAAAACCAAACAUUUGUAACCACCUCUGUCAUCCAUGCUCCCCACCACCGGCCCCGCCCCCCGCCGCCGAAAUCUCCCGGAUUUUGCUAGUCAAAUGUUGGCAGGUAUGCAUCAGUGUCUCUCGUGGUUCAUCUCUCAGCCCUCUCUGUGUUCAGCUGGGCUGCUGAGCGUCAGAUUAGAGGGGGCCGCUUGGGUCUGGGGGUCCUCACAGUCCUGACGUUGUUGAGGACCGGCUGUUAGGGGGACGUUUGAAUACCUGUGGACCCAUGGACAUACCUGUAGUGCAUCGGAUUGUUGAGCAGCGGCUGUUGUUGCUCUGAGGGGUCAACCCGUUCAGUGGAAGUACAACACUUUGUGUUUGAUUUAAAUACUCCACUGAACUCCAAAUGCUGCAUUUUAUUGGGCUUCUGGAAGGUUCAGCAUAAACCAUGAAACGAAGAUCUUCCUUUGGUUUAAGCCGGUUGUACAAAGAUUUACUUUCUAAUGUAAAAUGUGUUUUAAAUGUUUAUUGAGUGUUAUUUUACUACAAUAUUUUAUAUAUUUUCAACACCGUUUUAAAGGAAUCCAAAAUCAGUUUAUAUUUUGCCAUGCCUGACAUGGAACGUGAUUUAAAGCAGAUUUAACAACAUAAUCAUGAAUGAUGAUAAGAGUUCUAUGGGAAAGGGUAACGAUGUUGUAAAUUACUUUCAACGGAAGAUCGUUUCUUUGUGUUCUUUUGGGAACAAGUCAACAUGUUCAGUCAUUAAAGAUGCCUUAUGAUUUGUAAUUGUUCAUAAAUCAUAAUGUUAAUAAACUGCUCAGUGGGUCAAAUGAA
This is a long non-coding RNA of Gadus morhua (Atlantic cod), 3289 nucleotides long. RefSeq lists it as uncharacterized. The record is from RefSeq and is a predicted model, not a curated record. NCBI's taxonomy places the organism in Eukaryota, Metazoa, Chordata, Actinopteri, Gadiformes, Gadidae. The transcript is spliced from 2 exons.